UUGUGGCGGGGCCGGCUGUGUGGCUGCCAGAGCGAAUGUGACCAGGAAGCUUCUGUCCCCCCGAGGUGGCCAGCGUUCCUGUUACACAUGCCGUAGGCAGAAGAUCUAUACAACCUGGCAUUUGGCCGUGGCUUCCAGGACAGGCUGGAUGCAGAGUGAAGUCCUCUCCUCACUGUCAAUGUUUGCAGAUGUCUUCUUGUAUAAACUCCGUAUUUCUUGAGACUUU
This is a non-coding RNA of Chlorocebus sabaeus (green monkey), 226 nucleotides long. The record is from RefSeq and is a predicted model, not a curated record. Lineage: Eukaryota; Metazoa; Chordata; Mammalia; Primates; Cercopithecidae.